UACGGAGGGUGCAAGCGUUAUCCGGAUUCACUGGGUUUAAAGGGUGCGUAGGAGGGCAGGUAAGUCAGUGGUGAAAUCCCCGAGCUUAACUUGGGAACUGCCGUUGAUACUAUCUGUCUUGAAUAUUGUGGAGGUAAGCGGAAUAUGUCAUGUAGCGGUGAAAUGCUUAGAUAUGACAUAGAACACCAAUUGCGAAGGCAGCUUGCUACACAAUUAUUGACUCUGAUGCACGAAAGCGUGGGGAUCAAACAGG
RNAcentral lists this ribosomal RNA (253 nucleotides) under uncultured bacterium. Its description in RNAcentral is "partial 16S ribosomal RNA". It matches the Rfam family "Bacterial small subunit ribosomal RNA", at positions 524 to 776 of the family's 1533-position model. The record is from RNAcentral.